CAAUAGCGUAUAUUAAAGUUGUUGCGGUUAAAAAGCUCGUAGUUGGAUUUCUGCCGAGGACGACCGGUCCGCCCUCUGGGUGUGUAUCUGGCUCGGCCUGGGCAUCUUCUUGGAGAACGUAUCUGCACUUGACUGUGUGGUGCGGUAUCCAGGACUUUUACUUUGAGGAAAUUAGAGUGUUUCAAGCAGGCAUACGCCUUGAAUACAUUAGCAUGGAAUAAUAAGAUAGGACCUCGGUUCUAUUUUGUUGGUUUCUAGAGCUGAGGUAAUGAUUAAGAGGGACAGACGGGGGGCAUUCGUAUUACGGUGUUAGAGGUGAAAUUACUUGGUAUCGUCCGUAAAGACGAACUACUGCGAAAGCAUUUGCCAAGAAUGUUUUCAUUAAUC
This 387-nucleotide ribosomal RNA is filed under the name uncultured eukaryote. Its description in RNAcentral is "bacterial SSU rRNA". It matches the Rfam family "Eukaryotic small subunit ribosomal RNA", at positions 592 to 978 of the family's 1831-position model. The record is from RNAcentral.